AACGAACGCUGGCGGCAUGCCUAACACAUGCAAGUCGAACGAGACCUUCGGGUCUAGUGGCGCACGGGUGCGUAACGCGUGGGAACCUGCCCUUAGAUUCGGAAUAACUCCCCGAAAGGGGUGCUAAUACCGGAUAAUGUCUUCGGACCAAAGAUUUAUCGCCUUUGGAUGGGCCCGCGUUGGAUUAGCUAGUUGGUAGGGUAAAAGCCUACCAAGGCGACGAUCCAUAGCUGGUCUGAGAGGAUGAUCAGCCACACUGGGACUGAGACACGGCCCAGACUCUUACGGGAGGCAGCAGUGGGGAAUAUUGGACAAUGGGCGAAAGCCUGAUCCAGCAAUGCCGCGUGAGUGAUGAAGGCCUUAGGGUUGUAAAGCUCUUUUACCCGGGAUGAUAAUGACAGUACCGGGAGAAUAAGCUCCGGCUAACUCCGUG
This 433-nucleotide ribosomal RNA is filed under the name uncultured bacterium. Its description in RNAcentral is "partial 16S ribosomal RNA". It matches the Rfam family "Bacterial small subunit ribosomal RNA", at positions 29 to 507 of the family's 1533-position model. The record is from RNAcentral.